Molecule: long non-coding RNA, 522 nt
Organism: Metopolophium dirhodum (rose-grain aphid)
Lineage: Eukaryota; Metazoa; Arthropoda; Insecta; Hemiptera; Aphididae
Exons: 4
Source: RefSeq, a predicted model, not a curated record
AGAAAAGAAAGUUUUGGAGAAGGCCAUCGGCCACUAAAAGUCAACUUCCUCAUAGUAUCUGCUGCAGAGUAACGCUACAAUCGGCUCUGAAAAUUAUCAAUAAUCAAUAAAUCAUAUAAGUCCUACGCCAACUAUUCGCCGGUUCGCCGUUGGUCACUCGCGUGGAUACCAGUCAGAUAUUUUUCGUCUCCGUUCAAGUCUCUUCGCUUCAAAGUUCAAGCUGCUCUUCGCUUCUCCGGCAGUUUGGUGUGCUCGCCGUAUUAACUCCUUACCUACCAACGAGUCCGAAUAAUAUCUUCGAAUACCUACAUACCGAUCAUCAGAUCAUGUCGAAUCAGGUGCAAGAUGGUAAAUCGGAAGUGAUGCCCAUGAGGCAACCCUCCAAACAGAUAUUGUAUUGGAAUCCUCAAAUACUAAAUAAAGAUGUCCCAAGACUGGAAAAUGUUGAUGUUGAUGUUUAUAAUGGCCAUGACCAAGGAAUUGCUACUACUUCUUCUGGCCAAAGUUUAGUGCUGUCCUCAG